UAAAAUGGCAGAUAGAUGUAUAGGACUUAAGCUCCUAAUAGGGAAUCUUUAUUCCUUUUAGAAUU
RNAcentral lists this transfer RNA (65 nucleotides) under Ranina ranina. RNAcentral's name for it is "tRNA-Leu". The record is from RNAcentral. Lineage: Eukaryota; Metazoa; Arthropoda; Malacostraca; Decapoda; Raninidae.